AGCACGGGAGCAAUCCUGGUGGCGAGUGGCGAACGGGUGAGUAAUGUAUCGGAACGUACCUUUCAGUGGGGGAUAACGUAGCGAAAGUUACGCUAAUACCGCAUAUUCUGUGAGCAGGAAAGCAGGGGAUCGCAAGACCUUGCGCUGAUUGAGCGGCCGAUAUCAGAUUAGCUAGUUGGUGAGGUAAAGGCUCACCAAGGCGACGAUCUGUAGCGGGUCUGAGAGGGCGACCAGCCACACUGGGACUGAGACACGGCCCAGACUCCUACGGGAGGCAGCAGUGGGGAAUUUUGGACAAUGGGCGCAAGCCUGAUCCAGCCAUGCCGCGUGCAGGAUGAAGGCCUUCGGGUUGUAAACUGCUUUUGUACGGAACGAAAAGACUCUGGUUAAUACCUGGGGUCCAUGACGGUACCGUAAGAAUAAGCACCGGCUAACUACGUGCCAGCAGCCGCGGUAAUACGUAGGGUGCAAGCGUUAAUCGGAAUUACUGGGCGUAAAGCGUGCGCAGGCGGUUAUGUAAGACAGAUGUGAAAUCCCCGGGCUCAACCUGGGAACUGCAUUUGUGACUGCAUAGCUAGAGUACGGCAGAGGGGGAUGGAAUUCCGCGUGUAGCAGUGAAAUGCGUAGAUAUGCGGAGGAACACCGAUGGCGAAGGCAAUCCCCUGGGCCUGUACUGACGCUCAUGCACGAAAGCGUGGGGAGCAAAC
This 707-nucleotide ribosomal RNA is filed under the name uncultured bacterium. Its description in RNAcentral is "bacterial SSU rRNA". It matches the Rfam family "Bacterial small subunit ribosomal RNA", at positions 71 to 773 of the family's 1533-position model. The record is from RNAcentral.